Molecule: transfer RNA, 88 nt
Filed under: Chloroflexota bacterium
Lineage: Bacteria; Bacillati; Chloroflexota
Also listed under: 2 other names
Description: Chloroflexi bacterium tRNA-Tyr
Rfam family: tRNA
About the family: Transfer RNA (tRNA) molecules are approximately 80 nucleotides in length. Their secondary structure includes four short double-helical elements and three loops (D, anti-codon, and T loops).
Source: RNAcentral
GGAGGGGUGGGUGAGUGGUUUAAACCACCAGACUGUAAAUCUGGCGCUCGAAAGGGCUCCGCAGGUUCGAAUCCUGCCCCCUCCACCA